UGGACAUUCAAGAUUUGCAAACGGGGGUCCCAUAACACCAGGUGCCACACAAGCAUCAGCCAGAAGAUUGUACAGGAGCCUGGCGGAUGAUGGAUUGGAGGAUGGACCUACCAGCUGUUCCUGAUUCAUCUUCUGCUGAAGCUAAAGAAUUAGAAUGAGCAACCAGGCAAAAGCUUCAUCCAGCCGUCUGUGGAUCAUGUCACCAAGCCAGACGGCAGUAAUUUAACUUACCUCUCUCAUAAGACCAGUAUAUACUGGCAGUAAUUUAUUGCUUCUUCAUUACUAAGGAUUUACGGGAUGCUUCGUUGUUCUUGGAGGGAAAGGCAAUAUUUCCUGCUUUGUAAAUUUGACCUUUCCUAUCUGUGUAUUUUUUAGCCAGCUAUUUCUUUCUUAUAUGAGAUAAAUGUGUUGACCAGUACACGGAGGAAAAUGUCCCAGCUGGAAUUAAUAAGGAAGCCUGAUCUGCAUAGUGAGGUUUAUUUAGCUGUGUUACUAUCUAAAUCUUUAUAUAAAAUACUUUCAUAGGGCUGUAGUGUAAAACCAAAUGGUUUUAUAAAAUCACUGGAUUAUAUUUAGGGAGGGGAAAAUGAAACAAAACCAAAAAUAACAAGCAAUGAAUUGUAGCAAAAAAUAGACCAGAUCUUUAAUGAACUUAAAUUAGCGAUGCUUGCUUAGAGAUAAUGACACAUCUGCGGAAGUCCUGGCCAGAACCACUUCUGCCAGGGACCUGAGCUGCUCAGCAGGGACCCUGAGAUGACAUCCAGCAUAUACAGGAUACCAGUCUGUUUUCAAGUGAUGGGAACACUUCUCRCUUUGCAAAAGUACAAAUUUGCUCUAGGUUAGCUCUAAUUAGCCUCCUGUCAGCUGCAACUGAAUGAUGGGGGGUCGAGAGGGAGAGUAAGACUCUUUUUAGUUUUUAAGAAGUCUGUCAUUUAGUUUCAGAACAGCUGUGCAUUUCUGAUUGACAGAGGCAUCUAUUCCAGUUAUAUUUUAUCAGUCUAAGAAAUUCAUGAUGGCUUUUCCCAAAUCAAUAGUAGUAGUGAAUCUCAUCACAGAGGAAGCAGGAGGUAAACCAUCUUUGAUGUUCAUAACCUAUUAAGGUUAGGUCUGCUAUGAGCAUUUUGGGUAUCUGAGUUGGAUGAAAAUACAAACCCCCAUCUGAUGAAACAUUUAAAGAUACUGUUUUUUUUU
Nothoprocta perdicaria is the source of this 1191-nucleotide long non-coding RNA. RefSeq lists it as uncharacterized. The transcript has 2 exons. The record is from RefSeq and is a predicted model, not a curated record. NCBI's taxonomy places the organism in Eukaryota, Metazoa, Chordata, Aves, Tinamiformes, Tinamidae.